RNAcentral lists this ribosomal RNA (399 nucleotides) under uncultured bacterium. Its description in RNAcentral is "bacterial SSU rRNA". It matches the Rfam family "Bacterial small subunit ribosomal RNA", at positions 28 to 409 of the family's 1533-position model. The record is from RNAcentral.
GACGAACGCUGGCGGCGUGCUUAACACAUGCAAGUCGAACGAAGCAUUUUGGGUGCUUGCACUUGAAAUGACUUAGUGGCGGACGGGUGAGUAACGCGUGAGGAACCUGCCUACAUCAGGGGGACAACAGUUAGAAAUGACUGCUAAUACCGCAUAAGACCACAGGAUGGCAUCAUCUAGGGGUAAAAGAGAUAUGUAUCGGAUGUAGAUGGCCUCGCGUCCUAUUAGUUAGUUGGUGGGGUAAAUGGCCUACCAAGACCGCGAUAGGUAGCCGACCUGAGAGGGUGAAACGGCCACACUGGAACUGAGAGACGGGACCAGACUCCUACGGGAGGCAGCAGUGGGGAAUAUUGGGGCCAAAUGGGGGAAACCCUGACCCAGCAACGCCGCGUGAAGGAA